UACGUAGGGGGCAAGCGUUGUCCGGAAUCAUUGGGCGUAAAGCGCGUGUAGGCGGCCCGGUAAGUCCGCUGUGAAAGUCGGGGGCUCAACCCUCGGAUGCCGGUGGAUACUGUCGGGCUAGAGUGCGGGAGAGGCGAGUGGAAUUCCUGGUGUAGCGGUGAAAUGCGCAGAUAUCGGGAGGAACACCAGUGGCGAAGGCGACUACCUGGCCUGUUCUUGACGCUGAGGCGCGAAAGCUAGGGGAGCAAACGGG
RNAcentral lists this ribosomal RNA (253 nucleotides) under uncultured bacterium. RNAcentral describes it as "partial 16S ribosomal RNA". It matches the Rfam family "Bacterial small subunit ribosomal RNA", at positions 524 to 776 of the family's 1533-position model. The record is from RNAcentral.